Molecule: long non-coding RNA, 738 nt
Filed under: Bos taurus (domestic cattle)
Lineage: Eukaryota; Metazoa; Chordata; Mammalia; Artiodactyla; Bovidae
Description: long non-coding RNA NONBTAT025903
Source: RNAcentral
UUUGAUCUAAAAACAAACUCUAGUACCGAGUUUACAUUUUUCUUAAGGGAUAAACUUUAUUUCUUACAUUUAAAUCUAGCAAUGGGGAAAGCUUGUUACCUAAGGAUUUUCUGUAACUUCAAAGACAAAUAAAGGAGGGCUAGUAGAGAGAAAGUCUGUUUAUCCAAAUUAGAUGUUACAGCCACGAAGAAUCUUCCUUCCUGGAUGGACCCAUCAGUCAUCAUCUUUUAUUUACUUCUCUAUGGAACCUCAGCUUCUGUGAAGAGUCUUUGUACAGAUGAAACUGUGCCAACCGGUCUUUGGUGCAGACAAUUAUUUAAGGAGUCCAUCUCCACAAGAAGCCACCCUUUUAAAGGGAGAGCUUCAGUGGCCAGAGAUGACUGGCUGGUCUUUUUCAUUUAAGGACAUGAGUUCCCAGAAUUAUUACUCAAAAGACCUGGAGUUUGUUUCUGAUAUAGUGAAUAUUUAGCUUAUGUUGCUAUUUCUUCUCUGAACACUGGGAUUUUCUGUGAAGAAAAAUGAUCUCAUGAUAGUUUCUGCAAUGCAGCAGUCCCAGCUAAUGGUGUCUGAAUAUGACUCAAUACUGUAAUAGAUAUUUACACAAUAAAAGAUUCUGUAUAGUAUUUUCUUUAUUUUUUUUUUUUAGCUUACAUUUUGCACUGUUCCUCAAGGACAGUUAUACUUAAUGAUGUCUAUAGUAAAUGUCUAUAAAUAGAUGCUUUCUAAUGCAAUAUACCU